This 30-nucleotide non-coding RNA is filed under the name Homo sapiens (human). The record is from RNAcentral. Lineage: Eukaryota; Metazoa; Chordata; Mammalia; Primates; Hominidae.
UGAAGUCUACACGAAUGGAAAUAUAUAUUC